UACGUAGGUGGCGAGCGUUGUCCGGAUUUACUGGGCGUAAAGGGAGCGUAGGCGGACUUUUAAGUGAGAUGUGAAAUACCCGGGCUUAACUUGGGUGCUGCAUUUCAAACUGGAAGUCUAGAGUGCAGGAGAGGAGAAUGGAAUUCCUAGUGUAGCGGUGAAAUGCGUAGAGAUUAGGAAGAACACCAGUGGCGAAGGCGAUUCUCUGGACUGUAACUGACGCUGAGGCUCGAAAGCGUGGGGAGCAAACAGGAUUAGAUACCUCGGUAGU
RNAcentral lists this ribosomal RNA (271 nucleotides) under uncultured prokaryote. RNAcentral describes it as "partial 16S ribosomal RNA". It matches the Rfam family "Bacterial small subunit ribosomal RNA", at positions 524 to 794 of the family's 1533-position model. The record is from RNAcentral.